RNAcentral lists this ribosomal RNA (433 nucleotides) under uncultured bacterium. RNAcentral describes it as "partial 16S ribosomal RNA". It matches the Rfam family "Bacterial small subunit ribosomal RNA", at positions 29 to 507 of the family's 1533-position model. The record is from RNAcentral.
AAUGAACGCUGGCGGCAUGCCUAACACAUGCGAGUCGAACGAGACCUUCGGGUCUAGUGGCGCACGGGUGCGUAACGCGUGGGAACCUGCCCUUAGGUUCGGAAUAACUCCCCGAAAGGGGUGCUAAUACCGGAUAAUGUCUUCGGACCAAAGAUUUAUCGCCUUUGGAUGGGCCCGCGUUGGAUUAGCUAGUUGGUAGGGUAAAAGCCUACCAAGGCGACGAUCCAUAGCUGGUCUGAGAGGAUGAUCAGCCACACUGGGACUGAGACACGGCCCAGACUCCUACGGGAGGCAGCAGUGGGGAAUAUUGGACAAUGGGCGAAAGCCUGAUCCAGCAAUGCCGCGUGAGUGAUGAAGGCCUUAGGGUUGUAAAGCUCUUUUACCCGGGAUGAUAAUGACAGUACCGGGAGAAUAAGCUCCGGCUAACUCCGUG